CAUCAGCAGUCCCAUACUUGAGUACUCUGUGGUAUCCUGGAGAGCCCUGUCAUCUCCUGUGAUGUCACCAGUGUUGCUGUGAUACCAGCAGGCUAUGGGGCAUUUAUUCAGUGCCUUUAUGGUUAACCUAUAGACAUGGUGGCAAGAUGAAGCAAGCUACUUGGAAAAGAGAAUGGAGAACAUAGAGAGACCAGACAGAAGCAGAAGAAAGUUGGCCUUUGGUACCAUUGUAACACAGCAAGAGACAAAUCUUCCGAGGAUGCCAUAUUGAGCCUUGGCAGGGGAUGGAGUGCUUCCUGCAGGAGUCAGGCAGCAGACCUCCUGCAGGCAGAUCAGACUACCACCAUCCCCCAUGAGACCCUGUAACCAAGCCCCACCUCCCCCCAUCCCACCCAUUCUUCAAGACUGCAACUGUUCCCUGAGACAGAGAUGGCCAAGACCCGAUUGGACUAAGAGGUGAGUCUUUAUCCUCAAUCCUGAACACCCCAGACCCUAGGCUUUGGGCCCAGGGGCACAACCCUGCACCCCUACACCACUACCCAUUGCAGUUCCAGUUUCGGGCCAGUCAGCAGGCAGACCUACUGCAGGCAGUUCAGACUUCCACCAUCCCCCACCAGACCUUGUAACUCACAAGUCCCACCCCUCCCAACCCACCUGUGUGCCAAGAUUACAACUACUCCCUGAGACAGAGCCCACAAGGGCCAACUGGACUAAGAGCUUCUCCCUGAGACAAACAGUCCAUCAGAACCCAAUAGACCAAGAGCUCCCACUGGACCAAGAUUAUUGAUCCGACUGAGAGAGCCUCCCUCAGACACAGACACCGCUUGCACCAAGUGGAGAAAGAGAUGGAUAGAGGUCAGUGCAAAAGUACAGUCAACAACAAAAAACACACCAUGGUUCCAUCAGAACCUACACCAGCAAGACCUGAACAUCCCAACACAGAGGAAACAGAAGAAAUCGACCUUAAAAAUGAUCUUAAGAAGAUGUUAGAGAUCUUUAAAGAGGAAAUGAAAAAUUCCCUUAAAGAAUUAGAGGAAAAGUCAAACAAAAAAUGGGAAGCAAUCAGUAAAUCCCUUGAAAGCCAAGAGAAAGCAAUUAAAUAUUUGAGGGAAACAGCUCAAGAUUUGAAA
This is an RNA transcript of Peromyscus eremicus (cactus mouse), 1130 nucleotides long. RefSeq lists it as uncharacterized. The record is from RefSeq and is a predicted model, not a curated record. NCBI's taxonomy places the organism in Eukaryota, Metazoa, Chordata, Mammalia, Rodentia, Cricetidae. The transcript has 2 exons.